GGUCUUUACGUUCCCUGGGUGGUGCUGUGUGCAGGAGUCAUGACCAGCAGCACCCUGGUUUAACUCCUCUCCCCUUUCAUCCUGGAGACAUUCUGUUGGGUCACCUUUCCACGACUCCCCCAUUCCCAAUACUUUUUUGUUUUGUCUUCCUAACUCCAGCUGGCAGAAGGGCCAGUUGAGAGAGGAGCUUCCUGGACAAAGUCCUCCGGGGGCCACUGUGGGAGGAAAAAAAAAUGAAGCAUAACUUGCUCAAGGUUGCAUAAUUGCUAAGAGAAGAGGCCAAGAUGAAUGCUUAGACCAGAGCCUGCCCUCUUGUCCACUUUGCUAUGCUUCCCAGUGUGGUGCAGUCGUAGCCAAAUAAAGGAAAGACCCCGACUUUCACGUCCUGACUCUACAAACUUGGAAAUUUGUGGAUUAAUCGCAACUAAAUAAGGUUCUUGAGAGCAGAGACUACAUCUUGUGCUUCCUCUGCCUCAUUAAGUCCUCACAGGACCUAACUAGGCCAGGACCACUCAGAAGAGAGAAUGAAAUAUAGGACUGCGUUGUCAAGUAAGAACUGAAGGGGGAAUGCCUGCAGUCUCCAGGAGAAAUGAGUCGUGACAGGGUCCAGAAAGCCAUGUGUGUCUUCUCCUCUAACCCAUAUCAGGACUGCAUUGUCAAGAGGAGGCCUGGAUCUGUCAGGUGACAAGAUUUGAAAUGUCUGUUUCUUUCCCGUGAAGCCUCAUGAAGGACAGCAUCGGUCCCAAAGACAAGUUCCAUGUGCCAGGAAAUAAGCAGGGGACUUGGAAACCUAGUUGGUGAAAAUGGUCUCAAUGGGAUAGUUCAAAUAAGCACUCCCCAUGCCUCGUCCUAAAACCAUUUUCUCCUGUUCCUUCUGUGGAAGAACACCCUCCACUCCCAGGUAGAGUGUUAUUUAUUCUUUCCUCCAAGUCACCGAUAGAAAGGCAUCCUGCAACAUGAGAAACGACAUGGUGCAGAAAGAAGAAUUAUAGGAGAACUGAUGAGAGAAAAGUUGCUACUACUUACAGCUGAGGAAGGAUGAUUGGGAAUGUCAUGGAUAAAAAGUGUGGGAUUUGGUGCUUGAGAACAAAUCAACAACUCAGUUUUCCAACCAUUACAUAACCUUGGGCAAAUUGCUUGACCUCUCUGGAGCUUGGUUUUGGAAUCCCAUCUGUAAAAAUGAAUAGGAUAAUACCUAUGGAAAAAAUUAUGUGAGCGCUUAUACAUAGAUGUUUAAAAUCAAAUGAAAAUUUAGCAACUCAAAAUACAUCAACCUAUUUGACUUAAGUAAACUGUUUAUGGUGAGGAUCUACUACAGUAGCAGAAAAUGGUUGUUUUGCCUCAGAAGCUUCUGGUUAAAAAAUCAUUGGAAGGGAGGAGAAGGCAUAAUCUAACAUGGUAUGGAGAGACCAGAAGAUAAGUCUCGGCUAGAGUUAGCAAUACUGUAUUAUAUAUUUGAAAAUGUAAAGAAAAUAGAUUUUGAAAGUUCACAUCCUUCCCAAAAAUAAAAUUUGUAACCGUGUGAGAUGACGAGUGGUAGCUAAACUUAUUGUGAUGAUCAUUUUGUAAUGUAUAUCAAGUCAUAAUGUUGUACAUCUAAAACUAAUACAAUGUUACAUGUCAACUAUAUCUCAAUAAAAUAUAUUGAGAGGAGGGGAAGAACGUAAAACUCAGUUUCUCCUUUGGAUUGGUUUGCUUCUAUUUUGAUACGGUGGGACAGUUAUAUGUGAUGUAUUUUUAUAUUAUAAGAAAGCAAUUAAGAGGGUGGGUUACCUUUCACAUUUUCUGUGACUGAUUUCCUGUGGUACCCUGAUUUACACUCUCUCACAUUUUAACAAUACCAAAUGUUUGUUCAUUUGUGUUUCCAUCCUUCUGGAAUAAAAGUAUAUUAUACUGGCAUGUUAAAGAGGGACUUCAUGAUGGGGGUGCUUAUGUGUUUAUACUCCUAACAGAAUAGAACUAUAAUCAUAACUAUGAGGAUAGAAUUAUAACAGUAAUUUUUAAUCCAUUUCUAGGGAGCAUAGAGAAACACUUCCAAAAACAGGAAAUAAUAGAUGAAAGCAAUUAAUCCAUCAAUGCCCAAGUUCUGGUUACAUGUUAAUAUUACCAUAGGGUUAAAUCCAAAUAUAAACUCUUCAUCCUUAUCAAAGAAUAGAUGUUUUACAUGAGAUGGGGGCAUAUGACAGCUUUCCCAUGACCCCUGGGAACGGAUCUAAGAGAAUUACUCCUGCCACCUCUGAUGGGGCUUUUUGGUUUUCAAAAGAUUUUGCUAUACCGUCUUAUUUGAUCAUUGCUACAAUUGGGAAAGAAAGGCAAUUUAAAGAGAUGGAAACCGAGUCACAGGGGUGGGGUUUGCCAUUUGCCCACCAUCACCCAGACAAGUGGCGGUCCCAGGAGGAGCCUUCGAAUUUCACCCCACCCCACCACUCACGCCAGGAAGCACAGAGGAAACAAAAUGUCUAUGCGUUGCUUUUGUAAGACUGAGGGACUGCUUUGAAGGGUAAUUAUGUAGCAAACAACUGAAGGGCUUCCUGGAUAUCAUAUUUAGGAAAGAAGAGUUGUGUUAUGACAGGACUUCCUAAAAAAUAUGUAGAAACUCUGAAGUACUAUAUGGAUUUAUAAAUCUACACCAUUAUCUAGUUAAUGCUGGCAUGAAUCUUAUAGAUUCAUACAACUCUCAGAGACUUUACCCCCCCAAUCUUCAAAUCAUGGAGUUCUAGACUGAAAAAAAAAAUGUUUUCAAAUUUCAGAAGGGAGGACAGCAUUAAAUAUAAGCUCAUACAUCAUAUGGGUUUACAAUGGUUUCAAACCAAAUCUUUUAAUGUUUACGGGA
Non-coding RNA from Sus scrofa (pig), 2833 nucleotides. The record is from RefSeq and is a predicted model, not a curated record. Lineage: Eukaryota; Metazoa; Chordata; Mammalia; Artiodactyla; Suidae.